Long non-coding RNA from Sander lucioperca (pikeperch), 867 nucleotides. RefSeq lists it as uncharacterized. NCBI's taxonomy places the organism in Eukaryota, Metazoa, Chordata, Actinopteri, Perciformes, Percidae. The transcript is spliced from 5 exons. The record is from RefSeq and is a predicted model, not a curated record.
GACGUGUUUGACCUGAAGAAAUAUGGUGCUUCAGAAAAGGCUUUUCUGAGGCUGCUGCCAGUGGUCAAAGCAUCCAACAAAGCUCUACUGAGUGGCUGUAAGCUGUCAGAGACAAGCUGUGAAGCUCUGUCCUCAGUUCUCAGCUCCCAGUCCUCUAGUCUGAGAGAGCUGGACCUGAGUAACAAUAACCUGCAGGAUUAAGAAGUGAAGCUGAUCUCUGAUGGACUGAAGAGUCCACACUGCACACUGGAGACUCUCAGUCUGUCAGGCUGUCUGAUCUCAGAGGAAGGCUGUUCUUCUCUGGUCUCAGCUCUGAGCUUCAACCCCUCCCAUCUGAGAGAGCUGGACCUGAGCUACAAUCAUCCAGGAGACUCAGGAUUGAAGCUACUGUCAGAGGGAAAGAAGGAUCCACUCUGGAGACUGGACACUCUCAGGGUGGAGCCUGCUGGAGUCAGAUGGUUGACACCAGGUCUGAGGAAGUAUUCCUGUGAACUCACACUUGACACAAACACAGCGAACAGAUACCUCAAACUGUCUGACAACAACAGGAAGGUGACAUUAGUGGAGGAGGAUCAGCCAUAUCCUGAUCAUCCAGAGAGGUUUGACUACUAUCAUCAGCUGCUGUGAGAUGGUCUGACUGGUCGCUGUUACUGGGAGGUUGAGAAGGGAGGAGGGGUUGAUAUAGCAGUGAGUUACAGAGGAAUCAGCAGGAGAGGACACAGUUAUGACUGUUGGUUUGGAUGCAAUGAUCAGUCCUGGAGUCUGGACUGCUCUCAUGGUGAUUACUCUGUCUGUCACAAUGACAGAAGAUCAUCCAUCUCCCCCCCCUCUGUCUCUGAUAGAGUAGCAGUGUAUGUUGACUGGCCU